RNAcentral lists this ribosomal RNA (253 nucleotides) under uncultured bacterium. RNAcentral describes it as "partial 16S ribosomal RNA". It matches the Rfam family "Bacterial small subunit ribosomal RNA", at positions 524 to 776 of the family's 1533-position model. The record is from RNAcentral.
UACGGAGGGUGCAAGCGUUAUCCGGAUUCACUGGGUUUAAAGGGUGCGUAGGAGGGUAGGUAAGUCAGUGGUGAAAUCUUCGAGCUUAACUCGGAAACUGCCGUUGAUACUAUCUGUCUUGAAUACCGUGGAGGUGAGCGGAGUAUGUCAUGUAGCGGUGAAAUGCUUAGAUAUGACAUAGAACACCAAUUGCGAAGGCAGCUCGCUACACGAAUAUUGACUCUGAGGCACGAAAGCGUGGGGAUCAAACAGG